This 214-nucleotide ribosomal RNA is filed under the name uncultured bacterium. Its description in RNAcentral is "partial 16S ribosomal RNA". It matches the Rfam family "Bacterial small subunit ribosomal RNA", at positions 524 to 735 of the family's 1533-position model. The record is from RNAcentral.
UACGUAGGGUGCAAGCGUUGUCCGGAAUUAUUGGGCGUAAAGAGCUUGUAGGCGGUUUGUCGCGUCUGCUGUGAAAACUCAGGGCUUAACCCUGAGCUUGCAGUGGGUACGGGCAGACUAGAGUGCGGUAGGGGAGACUGGAAUUCCUGGUGUAGCGGUGAAAUGCGCAGAUAUCAGGAGGAACACCCGGUGGGCGAAGGCGAGUCCCUGGACA